Hirundo rustica (Barn swallow) is the source of this 2142-nucleotide long non-coding RNA. RefSeq lists it as uncharacterized. The transcript has 3 exons. Lineage: Eukaryota; Metazoa; Chordata; Aves; Passeriformes; Hirundinidae. The record is from RefSeq and is a predicted model, not a curated record.
AUUUGGAGUCUGCUGGCUCUGCUGUGAGGUGGAAGGGACAGGAGCUUGUCCAGGGGACAGAAGGGAUAAGCUGCCAUUCUAGAGACAGAUAGGGUUAGGUGGCUGUGCUAGGGACAGGAAGAAGUGAGUUGGAACUGCAGAAAGAAAAGAGAAGAAGAAGGAGAGAAAGAGCUAGAGCUGUGUGGAGCUGCCCAUGGGAGGCUACAUAGAAGAGGUAUGAAAGGCUUCUAGGUAACAAGGUGCUGAUGCUUGAAGCCUUCUGAAGUUUUACUAAAACACUCUGAAUGUUGUUUCCAUCUUUACAAGAACAACUUCUUUCACUGCAAGUGUUGCUCCUGGACUUAAAAUGAACCUGACACUUGACAAGAGGCAAAGCAAUGGACUUUGAUUAUCUGUGCCUGCUUGAGAAGCCUCCACAUCCAAAGACACAGUUUUUGCAUAAAAGGAGCUGCCACUGGGAAGAGAAUGGAAUAAGACAGCAGGAGCACAACCAGAUCUCCCCUCCCUCAGUGGACAGAUUUCUGUAUGGUGGCAGGUUUGAAAUGCCCCAACAGGGCUGGCCGUCACUCAGAGCACCAGCUGCCUCCUCCUAAGCACAUAAACAAUCAUAACACUGCCACUCUUAGUGACAACUUGGCAAGAAGAGCUUGGUGGAGGAUGAGCGAGGCUGAAUUGUCCUGUUUGCUCACAACCCAUCCACAGCCUCCUGCCUGCCCUGCUUGAGGUGCUCAUCGAGGGAGGGGAUAUUUGCCCCCCUGUCCUGCUCUGCUGAGACCCCACCUGCCGUGCUGCUUCUAGCAUGGGAAGGACACUGACUUGGAGUGAAUCCAGAGGAGGGAUCCAGGAUGAUUAUAGGGAUCAUGGAGCACCUCUCCUUUAUAGAAGGGCUGGGAGAAUUUGGAUUACUCAGCCUGGAAAAAGAUAAAGUUUUGGGAUAACCUGAUUGUGGUCUUGCAGUACUUGAAGGGAGCCUACAAUAAAGGUGGAGAGGGACUUUUUACAAUGGCCUGGAGUGACACAAAAAGAGGACAUUACUUCCAGCUGGAAAGGAGUAUGUUUAGAUUAGGUAUUAGGAAGAAAUUCUUUACUGUGAGGGUGGUGAGUCACUGGCACAGGUUCUCCAGAGAAGCUGUGGAUGCUCUGUCCCUGGAAGUGUCCAAGGCCAGACUGGAUGAGACUCUGAGCAACCUGGUCUGGUGGAAGGUGUCCCUGCCCAUGACAACAGGGCUGGAACUGGAUGAUCUUUAAGGUCCUGUCCAACCAAAACCAUUCUGAGAUUCUGUGCUGGAGUAUGGAACAUCAUGAGGGAGAAGCCCAUAACUUUGGCCUAGGAUGUGAAGUUUAAUCAUUUGAUGGAGGAUGGGAAAGAUAUGAAGACCCCCAACACACAAAGGCUUUUAUGGCAGAAAGUAUUUUCUGACUGAACUCCAUGUGCACAGCCUGCUUUUACGAUGUGCAUUUUGUAGGGACACAAGUGUUUUCUAACAAAACACCACUGCCUUCUGGACUGGGAGUUACUGUGGUUCUCCAGGAGACUUAGGCAGGAUCUUUUUCUCCUCUUGAGGAGAAAUUGUGGUAAAAAUAUGCACUGUAAGGGAGGCCUAGAGGCAUGUUGACUUCAGAUGGAGGCAUUUUUUCAAGACUUAGCAGGAUCUGCUUUUCUGCUGUGUACAUGCAUCUAUAUACACUUAGGAAAUAUGAUCACAAUAUACGUUAAAGAUAAGAUCCAGUUGAUUAGCUCUGACUGGUUAAUGAGUGCCUACAAUGGCAAACAUCAAAGUCCAAUGGAAAGGACUGUUAUAUUUGAAAGACAUCGAUGCUAUCGUUAAGUCCAGGUUAAGAACAAUAAGGUGCUGAAGAAACCGUCACACUUUCUGCUUCAGCUUCCCAAAUAAAAUUAGGCAACUUGUGCUGGGUGAUCAGACCCAGGAAAUAGCCAGGUGCUUUGAAUGUUGCCUGACCCCAUGGCCUUCACAUCAGAUCAGCUCUGUGAUCCUGAUUUCUAUCAAAGGAUUCCUUUGGUAAAAGCUGUGGUAUUGUGGUAUUUCUGGAGAUCUAAAAAGGUGACGUGGAUUCACAGAAACCCUCCGUGACAGCUUUAUUACAGGCCUGAUCACCCACCUCUGCCCCAAAAGACCUCGC